RNAcentral lists this transfer RNA (73 nucleotides) under Stegodyphus mimosarum. It matches the Rfam family "tRNA". From Rfam's summary of the family: Transfer RNA (tRNA) molecules are approximately 80 nucleotides in length. Their secondary structure includes four short double-helical elements and three loops (D, anti-codon, and T loops). The record is from Rfam by way of RNAcentral. Lineage: Eukaryota; Metazoa; Arthropoda; Arachnida; Araneae; Eresidae.
GCCUUCGAGGUGUAGUGGUCAGCACGCUGGGUGCGUAUUCCAGAGGUCUGUGGUUCGAGUCCCGGCGAAGGCG